UGUGACUCCUGUUUAAGCUGUUUCUCACCCUAAAUGCUUCAAAUAGGGGUGAAUCUACCCUGUCUGACAGCAUACUCCUAAUGUCUAAUUUUCCAAUUACUCCACCAAUGGUUCAAGCUAUGGCCUGUGAUCCCAGAAGGCUUUGUGGGUUACAACUUAAGAGACUGUCACAGACAUUCUCAAUGCACUUCAGAUCAAAAUAGACUUAAAUACAUCCCACUUAAAAAAAAUAUUCAGGGGUUUCUGAGGGGUUGAACAUCUUUUUGUGGCACAGAGACAGUAACACCAUCAUUGCCUCAUUAAUGUUAGUUGUAAAUUACAGCUCUGAGGACUGACUGCAACAAAACAAGAACUGGCAUCUCCAGUCAGUAAGGCUAUCCUGCAGUAUCCGUAGACAUAAUGACUUGCAAAUCUUUAAACCUUUUUCAUGAACUAGACAGAUAUGCUCUAAUAUUUCACUUGAGCGAUGCAAAACACCCUGCCACUAACAGAGGUCGCCUUUAAUGGAUUAAAGAAAGCUCUGGCCCUGCUACACAUAUUGAAUUAAUUUCAGAUUGUUGAUGGGAGCCCAUCUUACACUACGUCUGACCUACCAGUAACCUAAUACUUCAUGUCUCCAAAUGAAUCAGAAAACAUGUUUAUCUUUUUCUCCUUGAUGGUUUGACUUCAUCUGGGAAAUGAAACAGAGCAAAACAGACGGACAAUCCUGCAUUCAUCAAAUAAACAUUAAAAUAAUAACAGCAACAAGAAAAAAACUCUCAACAAAGUCUGAAACUACAGGAAACUCAGAUGCUUUGGGAUUUGAACAUGGAUGAAAUCUACAGUUUUCAUGUGCAACUCUUCCUGGUUCUUCUUUCUUCUGUAAGAAUUUUAAGCAUGAGACUUUGCUGACUCAUAUAGCUGUGAAUAGUUGAACACAGAUUUAUGUGGUUUAGUUUUUCUGUCUCUUUUUAAAGGACUCAGAAUGUCAAUGUGCUAUUGAUGAUAUGCUACUAAUGAUAUUAAGCCAGAAUUUCAAUGAAAAUGAUAAAGCUUUCUCAGCUGCUAUACGAGCACCAUCACCUUUCAGUGUUUUCAUAAAUCUGAACUAUUGCCAGUAUACUUUAGCUUUUAAUAAAAUUUGUUCCAGGAAAGAUCAGAGCAAUUAGGAACUUAAGAGGAUGACGAUACCACAGAGUGUUUUCAAGGUGAAACAUUAAGCGAGCAACGAAGUCUUCUAGCCUGUCCACAUCUAUUAUUAGUAGGGAGCAAGAAGAAGACCAACAGUGAAGAUCCCUUUAGCAUCACUCUUCUUGAGUGUCCAAAAAGAAUGAUGAAACAAAACCAGAAUGAAAUUACUCUUCACUGACUACUUCUACAGGUCUGUCUAAAAAUGUAUGCCUUCUGACCUUCCGGAAAGAUUCAGUGGUUCAAUGCUUUUGUUUAUCUGUAUUAAAAUAGACAAACCAGUUGUUGACUAGGAGAGGCUUACAUGACUAACCCUUUGAGAGGCUACAGAGAACACCACAUGUAACCAAAAGUGCCUGCAGCAGAAGCAACAUGAAGUUUGGAAGUUCUAAUUUUUAAGUGUUCUUCCACUUAAGUUAAACAAGAUCUUGAACUGUAUUAAAUUCUAAGCAUGCUGGGCUGUUUUGGUUCAAGAAACAUAACUGGAAUAAUUUAUUUAAAUACAUUAGGAGGGAUUUUUUUUUUCUCUUGGGCAAGACUUCUCAGCUUCUUUAUGCUGCGGACAACAUUCCUUGUCUGCUGAGACAUUCAUUACCACCUCAGUUGUCUUUUCAUCAGACUGCCUCCUCUACCCACCACAACUGCAUGCUCCGAGUCACUUACACAUCAAGGACAUUUUAGGAAAGCGGUUGUUAUACUUUGAGCUUCCGUUAAUGCACUUUAGCAGCUGGAAAACGAAGAGAAGAGCCAACACUAUGAGACCAGCAAGCAUUCUUUAUAAGCCAUCAGUGAAAGCUCUGGGAAAUAUCAAUGGUUCCCAGAUCACAUUUUGGGAACUUCUGUAACAAGGAUCUAAGUUCACAGCCACAGUGUAUUAGAAGUUUUGGACUUGUAAGUCAGUAUCAAUGCCUUCUUCAGCAUUCAUAAGGACAGGAUUUUAGCCUAAAUUUCCACCAGAUUCCUGGAUCAAGAUUUCUUGAAUUAUAAUACUGAAGCAUUUUAUGAUUAAGAAAAGAAUAAAGCCCUAAAGCCUUUAUUUUUUA
Molecule: long non-coding RNA, 2210 nt
Organism: Falco peregrinus (peregrine falcon)
Lineage: Eukaryota; Metazoa; Chordata; Aves; Falconiformes; Falconidae
Exons: 2
Source: RefSeq, a predicted model, not a curated record